CGGGGGGGAGGGGCGGCGAGGCGAGGCCUGCGGAGCGGAGGAAGACAAACAUAAAGAUGAAGUGCUUAAUUCAAGGUCACACAAUGUCGGGGAUGGACCUCCAGAUUUCCUUACUGACCUGCAUUAUCUUGUGGAUACCUGAGUGAAUUCCACACCACCCAUUUUAUAGAUGAAACCACUGAGACAUGGAGCAAUUGACUGAGUAGUCACUGCCCCACCCCUGCCUGGAGCCUCACACAUGACUCGCCUCCUCUCAGUGACCACAGAUGGAGUCUUGCUGUGUCACCAGGAUGGAGUGCAGUGGCGCAAUCUCGGCUCACUGCAACCUCUGCUUCCCGGGUUCAAGUGAUUCUCCUGCCUCAGCAACCCGAGUAGCUGGCACUACAGGAAAACAAGCUCAGGGCUCCCACUGAUUGUACAUUAUGGUGAGACGUGGUCUUGUAACACAGUGGUUAAGAAUGUGACUUUGGAGCCAGCCUGCUAGGGGCUGAAUUCUGACUCAGCCAUUUACUAACUGUGUGACCUUAGGGAGGAGGACCUGGUUGAUAGAAGAAUUUAUCUCGUAGUCUUAACAUCCACUGUAAUUCCAAACUUUGAGGACGAUAGAGAUCAGUGGGCUUUGACUGCCCAGCAUGCAGUCUCCAUUCUUAGGUCACAGAAUUUUCCACACUCCUUGACAGAGGUGCUUAACCCUUAUCCAUCAGCAUUCUCAGACAGCACCUCCGGUUAGGGACAGUAUCUGACCGUCCGACAUCCCUGCAGCCCCCAUGUGUCACACAGACUCAGCCUCAGGUAGAUGGUUUCCGUAGAUGGUGGCUUUCUUUGGACCCUUGACAUCAACCAGUUACUAUUUGACUCUUCUGCAGAACCCCAUGUUGACCCCUGCUUUGAGGUGGCAGAGUUAACACUACUCUUCGUUAUAAGCUCUCGUCUGGGGCAACUCAGAAGAACCCAGAGACAGACUCCCAGACUCGGCCAGAGGCUGAUGCCAACUCCUUCCAGCUCUCACGGUAACCAUGAGGCCCCUGCGUGUUUCUGUUGUGGAGGUCCCAGAGGGAACUGUAUGGACAGACACAGCCCGAAGGGCCAUCUGCCUCAAGCCACAGCAGCACAGAAUUCUAAAGAUUGUGGGGAAGGAUGGGGCCAAGGGGACCAGAUGUGCAGAGGUAAUGAAUACCAGGGAAUCAGGAAACCACUGGAUCAGUUCUUUGAGCCACAGAACAACACUCAUCCCAGCAGCUGGGAAGCUAUCUGCAAAAGUCCAUCUGCAGAAAGGGCUUCCUGGUCUUGCGUGUGGCUGGGCCAUUUCUCUGGAUGCAGGUUUUUCAUUAUACAGUCUUCUCAAAGAACCACCUGCUCUCAACACCUUCUCGGUGACUCCAUUUCCCCUCCUCUGGGCUCCUGGAAUGCCACAAUGGCCCCACCUUAGCCAGGCAGCUGUGAUGAGAGGUGUUGACCCAACUGCCUCUCUGCUGGCUCACUGAAUCAGGUGGAAGGGGCUGGGGACAGCACAGUCUUGCAUUGUGGUUGGGGACCUGGGCCAUCCAGAGGCAGGACUGUCCAAAGGCAGGGUACUGCUGGGAUUCCGCCAGGCACUGGGUGAUGCAUGGCAUAGGGAGCUGAAGAGGGACAGGCUCUUGGCCAGGAAAAACAGCCCCAGAGCCACAGGUGUGCCAUCGAGUCUUCCUCCUCUCCCAUCCUUAAUCACUCCUGUUUGGUGACAGCACACAGCUAGGCCUGGAGCCCAGCAAAGAGCCCCUGGGUCCCAGAGGAAGUUGUUCUGGGGGCUGGAGACAAUCACAAAUGCCAGGUUUGUGAGCCCCAGACUCUGGUUCAUAGCAAGAGGCAGACUUGUGAACAAACCACCAGAUCACACCGUAAAACACGCUCAACGAGGAGUGGGUGCCCUUUCUAGGGACAGGCAGAAGGCUCCAUGGAGUGACCUUUGAAUGGGGACAUAAAAGUGGAUCCCUUCAACAGCCCCUGCACAGCCCCAAGUCAGGCCUCCAGCCCUUGGACUCACAGAUGUCCUCUGUAGACGACUGGAUGUCCUCCCGUGCUACCCUUUACCCCUGCAGCGAGGGGCACAGAGCCAGAGCCCUCCAGGUCCUCACCACUGGCAUCACCAACAUAGUGGACAUUUUCCCUCUCAGAAUGAAAAGGGAGUGAAAUUUCCCGUGAUCUUUCCACAAAUGACCAGCUUGGGGAGUGGGAGAGGAAGUGCUGCAGUGCCUGGGGAAGGGGCCCUGGAACAGUUCCUGGAAAUGGAGAGGGGUGGAUAGGGUGGAGACAAUGCUCAUGGAGUGCAGUAUGGGGCCUACCCAGAGUUGCUUGGCCACCCCUCUGCCUCUGAAUCAGGGGUGAUCAAUGAAGGAAAAUUACUGCAAAAAAAAAAA
RNAcentral lists this long non-coding RNA (2396 nucleotides) under Homo sapiens (human). RNAcentral describes it as "PCBP1 antisense RNA 1 (PCBP1-AS1)". Lineage: Eukaryota; Metazoa; Chordata; Mammalia; Primates; Hominidae. The record is from RNAcentral.